This is a long non-coding RNA of Ochotona princeps (American pika), 432 nucleotides long. RefSeq lists it as uncharacterized. NCBI's taxonomy places the organism in Eukaryota, Metazoa, Chordata, Mammalia, Lagomorpha, Ochotonidae. The transcript has 3 exons. The record is from RefSeq and is a predicted model, not a curated record.
UGAUGAAUUACUUCUGGUAGGUGUCAGAUAACAUGAAUGUGAAAGACAAGGAACAGAUCAGCAGAAGCAUGGUUAAGCGGGUGCUGAGAAAUGAGUACUAGUAGUAACUUCUGUCCCUUCAGUCACUGAAAGAGGAAGAGAGAAAGAAGACAGAGACAGCCAAACAGACAGGUAUCUCCAAUCUGCUGCAUCCCUCUCCAAAGCCAACAGCCAGAAGCCAGAAACUCAAUCUGAGUCCAAUGUGAAUGGCAGGAAGCCAACUAGGAGUCAACAGGCUACACAUCAACAAGCAGAUGGAAUCAGAAACACAAUCGGGACUCCUGUACCAGAUGUACUUGAGGCUGCUGAGAACAACCCAAGUGCAAGUGACACUCUUGAACUUGACCUCAACGAAGUCAUGGUGCCACAUCUGACUUCUUCCAACUGCUGGCA